UACGGAGGGUGCAAGCGUUAUCCGGAUUCACUGGGUUUAAAGGGUGCGUAGGUGGGCAGGUAAGUCAGUGGUGAAAUCUCUGGGCUUAACUCAGAAACUGCCAUUGAUACUAUCUGUCUUGAAUACCGUGGGGGUCAGCGGAAUAUGACAUGUAGCGGUGAAAUGCUUAGAUAUGACAUAGAACACCAAUUGCGAAGGCAGCUGGCUACACGAAUAUUGACACUGAUGCACGAAAGCGUGGGGAUCAAACAGG
RNAcentral lists this ribosomal RNA (253 nucleotides) under uncultured bacterium. RNAcentral describes it as "partial 16S ribosomal RNA". It matches the Rfam family "Bacterial small subunit ribosomal RNA", at positions 524 to 776 of the family's 1533-position model. The record is from RNAcentral.